AGUGAACGCUGGCGGUAGGCCUAACACAUGCAAGUCGAACGGCAGCACAGUAAUAGCUUGCUCUUACGGGUGGCGAGUGGCGGACGGGUGAGGUAUACAUCGGAAUCUACUUUUUCGUGGGGGUUAACGUAGGGAAACUUACGCUAAUACCGCAUACGACCUACGUGUGAAAGCAGGGGAUCUUCUGACCUUGCGCGAUUGAAUGAGCCGAUGUCGGAUUAGCUUGUUGGCGGGGUAAAGGCCCACCAAGGCGACGAUCCGUAGCUGGUCUGAGAGGAUGAUCAGCCACACUGGAACUGAGACACGGUCCAGAGUCCUACGGGAGGCAGCAGAGGGGAAUAUUGGACAAUGGGCGCAAGCCUGAUCCAGCCAUACCGCGUGGGUGAAGAAGGCCUUCGGGUUGUAAAGCCCUUUUGUUGGGAAAGAAAAGCAGCAGGUUAAUACCCCGCUGUUCUGACGGUACCCAAAGAAUAAGCACCGGCUAACUUCGUG
This 492-nucleotide ribosomal RNA is filed under the name uncultured bacterium. Its description in RNAcentral is "partial 16S ribosomal RNA". It matches the Rfam family "Bacterial small subunit ribosomal RNA", at positions 29 to 507 of the family's 1533-position model. The record is from RNAcentral.